UUUCUUCUUUUUCAUAGGGCAUGAAACUAAACAUGCAUGUUAGUUCGGCAAUGUACCACUCCAUACAUCUUUUUUUCUCAGAAAAAAGACAUAAACCCAACUUUAUAAAUGAAAUCAGCAAGGGAAAGCAUGGCACCAUGAUAACAGAGUACCACCCUCCAAGACAAAUCACCACGAACAUAAAUAAAAUCCGCACAUGGAAUGGGAGUUCACGCACGCAUGCCACCAGGAAACAAAAGCAAGAUAGCCA
This 250-nucleotide long non-coding RNA is filed under the name Hordeum vulgare. RNAcentral describes it as "long non-coding RNA (HVUL_LNC003394)". Lineage: Eukaryota; Viridiplantae; Streptophyta; Magnoliopsida; Poales; Poaceae. The record is from RNAcentral.